RNAcentral lists this ribosomal RNA (240 nucleotides) under uncultured bacterium. RNAcentral describes it as "partial 16S ribosomal RNA". It matches the Rfam family "Bacterial small subunit ribosomal RNA", at positions 15 to 244 of the family's 1533-position model. The record is from RNAcentral.
GAUCCUGGCUCGGGAUGAACGCUAGCUACAGGCUUAACACAUGCAAGUCGAGGGGAAACGACAUCGAAAGCUUGCUUUUGAUGGGCGUCGACCGGCGCACGGGUGAGUAACGCGUAUCCAACCUGCCCACCACUUGGGGAUAACCUUGCGAAAGUAAGACUAAUACCCAAUGAUAUCUCUAGAAGACAUCUGAAAGAGAUUAAAGAUUUAUCGGUGAUGGAUGGGGAUGCGUCUGAUUAG